UUCCCUUCGGGGACCUAGUGACAGGUGCUGCAUGGCUGUCGUCAGCUCGUGUCGUGAGAUGUUGGGUUAAGUCCCGCAACGAGCGCAACCCUCGUCCUUAGUUGCCAUCAUUAAGUUGGGCACUUUAAGGAAACUGCCGGUGAUAAGCCGGAGGAAGGUGGGGAUGACGUCAAGUCCUCAUGGCCCUUACAGGCUGGGCUACACACGUGCUACAAUGGCAUCUACAGUGGGCAGCUAUUCCGCAAGGAUGCGCUAAUCUCCAAAAGAUGUCUCAGUUCGGAUUGUCCUCUGCAACUCGAGGGCAUGAAGGCGGAAUCGCUAGUAAUCGCGGAUCAGCAUGCCGCGGUGAAUACGUUCCCAGGCCUU
RNAcentral lists this ribosomal RNA (366 nucleotides) under uncultured Porphyrobacter sp. RNAcentral describes it as "bacterial SSU rRNA". It matches the Rfam family "Bacterial small subunit ribosomal RNA", at positions 1014 to 1382 of the family's 1533-position model. Lineage: Bacteria; Pseudomonadati; Pseudomonadota; Alphaproteobacteria; Sphingomonadales; Erythrobacteraceae. The record is from RNAcentral.